RNAcentral lists this long non-coding RNA (2851 nucleotides) under Sparus aurata (gilthead seabream). Its description in RNAcentral is "lncRNA (ENSSAUG00010000220.1)". The record is from RNAcentral. Lineage: Eukaryota; Metazoa; Chordata; Actinopteri; Spariformes; Sparidae.
AUGCAACCAUGCUCCGCCACCCCACCCUCCCACAAACACACCCCUGUUGGGAUAUUGGCAAGUUGUCAUGACGACAGGGAUGUUCUCCUGAUGAAGUCUCGCUUAGCGCUGUCCAAUCAGAUCGUGGAGCUACAACCGCAGCGUGAACAGGGGAGGACGCACCUAUUCCAGUUGCACAAUGCUGAGAAAGGACAGGCGAAACCAUGGACCACCAACGGGAAAUUGGCAAUCCGGGGGAGGCUGUCAAUGGGCUGCCAUGGUUCGACAAUACACAAACAGCGGGGGUCGUGGAUACAGGGGCUGCCAGGGUACAAAGGGAGGCGUCAAUGGCGAACCGCGGGAGAGAGCUGUCGACAGGGUGGCUCAGCUGGCAGUGCCCAGGGCUCCCGUGGGGCCGAGAGCUGCCUGAAGUGGAGAGUCAAGGACGCUGGAGGAUGACAAGGGACAGCUGGAGAAGCGGAGGACUCUUCACUCUCUGAGCAGACACUAUGGACGGCAGUCAACAGUGAGAGACACCAAUUGAUGUUCAGUGUCUUCGCCUCACCCAUUUGUUCAAUCACCAAGCCCCCAUAGGACUCACACAAGUUUGUGUUUGCAUUAGAUUUGAUUUAUGUACGUAUGAAGUGUUUACAGCGAGUGCCUUAUGUUCUUUUUCAUUCCAGCUUCUCACCUUUUUCUUUAAGUGUCCAUGCUUUCAUAUAAUUCUAACUCAGGACACUGAUUCCACAGUAUUCCCCUUUUUGUGAACCUUUUGCUUUCAAUUAGUGCAUCCGGUCUCAUCAGUGACAGCUCCCCCCUUCCCGUCCUCAUGCCAGUGGUUUCCCAACAGAUCUCUGGCCUGUCAGGCUUACCUCACAAAUCUUCAGGAAAGGGGAUUCCACCGCCGCUCACAACUGUGUAGGAGGUCAACGCUUUAACAAGUCGUUCCCUGCGAAUGAGGUUUGAGGGUUUGGCGAGUUGACGCACGGAUGGAUGGAUGCAUGGAUUGAUAGAUGGAUGCUGGGAAAUUUGUAGAGUUUGAGGAUCUGUGUGUAGCAGCCACGGGAAGGAGAAAGUUGUGGCUUGGCCAAUGCGCGUCGCCGUUUCCGGAGCUGCUGUCACUCCUCACAUUAACCGACCAGAAGGCACGUCGCUGCCAGUUGGCUUAUGGUGUGACUUUUUGUUUGUCUGAGUUGAAAUCAUAAAUACUCACUUGCUGCAUUCACAUGAUUUUAAGGUAUAUUCAGGAAGGGUUUCCCGUCACGUCCAUGAUGUCAGAAAUGAGCAAAAAGUCGAGAAUGAAUGUAUAAUAAAUCAAAGUGCAAGAAAUCAUGAUCAUGGCCGUGUGGCGGUGAGGGUUUCCAUCAAAGCCACUGUCCUCAUGGAGCACAUGUGUGUGUCAGGCAUCAUCUGCAGUGGAUUAUUGUGGUCUCGGAAUGUCUGUGGGUUGAUCCGGUCCCCACCAUUUUGUCACCAUAUGUCACCGCUUAUAGGCUUUUUGAAUAAUUGCAUCGAUGUGCAUAAACCACCAAGUAUGAAUUUCGGUUGACAAAAAACUCUUUUCUUUCUGCACUGUAUUCUGAAACAAAAUAGGGAUUCAUAGUAUUCAAAUUUGUGUUGGCCUCAGUGCAACAACCCAUUCUUCACUCCGAGAAAAUAUAGCCUGACACCCUACAUGCUUACAAUAAUACAGAGAGUGAUGCUUAUGAGCCUCAGCGCAGGCGCCUUGGUCCUGACCGCAUCAUGACGUGCCACUGAUGAAGGUAAAACUCAAACGUGUAACAUUGCCGUUAUAUAACAGUUACCAACAAAAUAAAAGAUAUUAUCAAAGUGCAUUUAUGUUCUACGGCAAAAUAAAAUAAAGCCUUUUUGUUAAUGUUAUCUCUGUUUCCCUGUAAAUACAUGGGGUCUGACUAAUAACUGGAUAACAAGCAGGUGGGUCAGGAAACUCCUGUAAUGAAACAUCAGCAAUUAGCAGCAACCUCAUGAAGCCAGAUGGGAACUGUACUGUACGCUUAAAAUGAUUGUACUCGAGGGACUUCAUCCUCUGUGUCAUGACCACGAGAACAAACGUGCAUGAAUGUGGAAAACAUAGUACAUUAAAUACAGCUGGACUUGAACACAGCACGCCUCAGUGAGAAAGUUUCAGCCUUGAAUGAGUGUUGAUCAGUGGAAGGAAAACAAAUCAACUUUCAAAUUCGAAUCACGCAUCUUUCUUCUCCUCUCUGAGCCGAUGCAUUCCACAUUGCUCGAAUGCACAUAGCAAUGCUCGGCGCUUUGGCGUCAGCACUUCUUAAAAUGGGCUGUUGCCACUGCCGCUCCAGCUGGACCUUCAGCACUUUCCCCCGUCCAACCCCCACAAAAAUCCUGGAGCGAGGAGGAGAGAUGAGAGUGGGAGGAAAAUCCGCUAAAUCCACCAAACUCAGGAAUGUAUUUUCAUUAAAACAAGUUUGUUUGAAGGGAUUGGGAAGGUGCAGGAGAGAGAGAGGCAGUAUCAGAAGUGAUCAGGCUCAAUAGCUCAAUGGCUGCGCAGUGCUACUGUACAAGUAUUAGAGGAGCAGAGAAUGGAGAUACAUUAUAUCUGCGGCGCACACAUAGGUUGGAGGCAGGCUGGAGGCUGUCGGAGGCUGUAUUUGGCUGCGGGACUUGCUAACAGGAGUUUAUCAGUCAGCCAAGGAGUAAGCUCCUGUCUCAAAUCCCUGUUUCGGUAGAUCGAGGAAUAUUGUUUCUACGUGUGUGUGCCCGCAUGUGUGUGAGCCACCUCUACCACAAGCUAAAGCCAUCAUCCUUCUACAUCUCCCAUUAUCCAGUCCACACACGUCUAGAUUUAUUUCUUGCCCUGGUCAGUCUCCAGGAGAGGUAAUUACUAACC